This is an RNA transcript of Nycticebus coucang (slow loris), 649 nucleotides long. It is a transcript of the gene named nucleosome assembly protein 1-like 1, with no coding region annotated. The record is from RefSeq and is a predicted model, not a curated record. NCBI's taxonomy places the organism in Eukaryota, Metazoa, Chordata, Mammalia, Primates, Lorisidae. The transcript has a single exon.
AUGGUUCAGGAACACGAUGAACCUAUUCUGAAGCACUUGAAAGAUAUUAAAGUCAAAUUCUCAGAUGCUGGCCAGCCUGUGAAUUUUGUCCUAGAAUUUCACUUUGAACCCAGUGACAAAUGAAGUGUUGACAAAGACAUAUAGGAUGAGGUCAGAACCAGAUGAUUCUGAUCCCUUUUCUUUUGAUGGACUAGAAAUUAUGGGUUGUACAGGGUGCCAGAUAGAUUGGAAAAAAGGAAAGAAUGUCACUUUGAAAACCAUUAAGAAGCAGAAACAUAAGGGAUGUGGGACAGUUCGUACCAUGACUAAAACAGUUUUCAAUGACUCCUUCUUUAACUUUUUUGCACCUCUUGAAGUUCCUGAAAGUGGAGAUCUGGACGAUGAUGCUGAAGCUAUUCUUGCUGCAGACUUUGAAAUUGGUCACUUUUUACGUGAGCAUAUAAUCCUAAGAUCAGUGUUAUACUUUACUGGAGAAGCUAUUGAAGAUGAUGAUGAUGAUUAUGAUGAAGAAGGUGAAGAAGCAGAUGAGGAAGGGGAGGAAGAAGGAGAUGAGGAAAAUGAUCCAGACUAUGACCUGAAGAAGGAUCAAAAUCCAGCAGAAUGCAAGCAGCAGUGAAGCAGGAUGUAUGUGGCCUUGAGGAUAAUCUGC